RNAcentral lists this small RNA (92 nucleotides) under Salmonella enterica. Its description in RNAcentral is "partial RtT sRNA". It matches the Rfam family "RtT RNA", at positions 41 to 130 of the family's 130-position model. From Rfam's summary of the family: This family represents a bacterial cis-regulatory element known as RtT RNA. Lineage: Bacteria; Pseudomonadati; Pseudomonadota; Gammaproteobacteria; Enterobacterales; Enterobacteriaceae. RNAcentral also lists the same sequence under 5 other names. The record is from RNAcentral.
GUUCGAUUCGAGCGUCAGCGAGAAAGCGUUGCCGCAGGCAACGACCCGAAGGGCGAAGCGCGCAGCGCUGAGUCAUCCUUCCCCCACCACCA